Molecule: unclassified non-coding RNA, 355 nt
Filed under: soil metagenome
Description: partial contains 5.8S ribosomal RNA, internal transcribed spacer 2, and large subunit ribosomal RNA
Rfam family: 5.8S ribosomal RNA (bases 1-120)
Source: RNAcentral
GAUGAAGAACGCAGCGAAAUGCGAUAAGUAAUGUGAAUUGCAGAAUUCAGUGAAUCAUCGAAUCUUUGAACGCACAUUGCGCCCGCCAGUAUUCUGGCGGGCAUGCCUGUCCGAGCGUCAUUUCAACCCUCGAACCCCUCCGGGGGGUCGGCGUUGGGGAUCGGCCCUGCCUCUUGGCGGUGGCCGUCUCCGAAAUACAGUGGCGGUCUCGCCGCAGCCUCUCCUGCGCAGUAGUUUGCACACUCGCAUCGGGAGCGCGGCGCGUCCACAGCCGUUAAACACCCAACCUCUGAAAUGUUGACCUCGGAUCAGGUAGGAAUACCCGCUGAACUUAAGCAUAUCAAUAAGCGGAGGA